Long non-coding RNA from Felis catus (domestic cat), 2556 nucleotides. RefSeq lists it as uncharacterized. NCBI's taxonomy places the organism in Eukaryota, Metazoa, Chordata, Mammalia, Carnivora, Felidae. The record is from RefSeq and is a predicted model, not a curated record. The transcript has 3 exons.
CUGUCUCCCACUCAGGCUCUCUCUAUCUCUUUCUAUCUCCCUCUCUUAAAAAUAAAAUAAAUGUUAAAAAUGUGUUUAAAAUGUGACUUAGAUUAUUUUCCUUUUCUGCAGUACCUAAAAGGAGGGUAGGAGGGCGUGGUAUCUCAGGACACAGAGGUACAAUUCUGAACUCCAAUUUCUAAUCUGGAGUUGUGUCUGGAAAAAUCAGGUGAGGGAAUUAAAUCCUACCCUGAGAAUAUUCCCCUUGUCAGGUAUCGUCUUAGGUAUGUUUGAGAGUGUUUUGUUAUUGUUUUUGUUUUUGAGCGGUCAUGAAAUUAUCAGACUUACAUGAAAACAUUUCAGAAAUUGAGAAGAUUUUGAAAAGGUAGAGAAUAGAAUCCCGCUAAGGAAAUGAAAUAUCCUGUAUGUAACACUCCACACUAAGUCCAAAAGAUAAACUCUGGUUAAUAUAGGUGGGUUACAUAUAGAUCAAUACCAGCCUUUGUAAGAAGGAUAUAAGUCUUAUUUGGCUGAAGGCUUAAUGUCAGACAACAGAGAGUGAGGGAGGACAAGAAUGCCAAUGUGAGCGAAGCCAGCCUGAUGAGGAAUAGAACCAGUGAGGGAGACAAGAACAUUCUCACUCUUCCAUGAACUUGACGCAUCCCACCUACAAGCUGCAUUUGCGCUUCAAGAAGGACAUUCCCGAACUAAUUUAAACACAUCCAGAGAAGAAGGAUGACGGUGGGCUAGGAGAUCAUCUCCUAUGAGGAUCAUUUGAGAGAACUGAGGAGACUCCUCUCUACCAGGAGGUAUUUGCUCAAUGGAUGAACGUAUAAAUGAAUUACAAAGCAGGCAGCUUGUUUUCAACACUUCAGUGAGAUUUCUAAAUGGACCACUCAUUUAAUAUAAGAAAAUGUCUAAAGUCCUGGACAACGGCCGACCCACUGAAUUUAUCACAUCGUAAAAAGCGAACUUGACUGUUACUUCAUGGAGACGUGGUGGAGAGCCCAGCAGAGUCUCAGCCUCUGUGUCUGGUCCCAUCUCCCAAGCCCUGCAGUGAGGGAGGGAGGCCAGCCUUUGUGUAGAGGGAGGCCCUGUGCAUGAAUAUGGACACAGGAGCUCAGGAAACCUGUGUCCUCCCCGGUGUCGUCAACAAUCCCGCUGUGUGACCUUGGGUAAGCAUUUUGACUUCUUUUAGAUUUUGUUUUAUCAGGUUAAAUUGAAAAUAAUGCUAUUUACCAUGCAGGAGAUUUGUAAAGAUUUAAUAAUGCAAUAUUUAAAAUGAAUACUGAAAUUUAGGUCUGGGUUUUCUGAACUGUAGAUUUGAUCCAACACACCAUUACUUUGUUGUUGUUUCUGUUGUUAAUGUGUAAUGCAGAAUUAAGGAUUAAGGGGCCAACAUCAACCCAAACAGCAUUUAGGUACUUUUUCUUCAAUAUACAAUUAAAAAUAAGUGUUAGUAGUGGUAAUAAUAGCAAUUCAAGAUGAUGAAACAUGAUAGGUAGACAAAUAAUGUGAUAAAUUGAGAGUUUUAUAUUUUCUUGGCAGUUUUUCAAUGUGAUUUACAAAGCUGUAUUUUUUUUGGAACACCAUUUUUUUGUUUGUUUCUAAGAAAAAUAUGUAAUUUCAACAUUUCUCCUUAUUCUCGUUUGAUAUCAACAUCGUCACGGACCUCUCAUGCCCUCUUUUUGCAGAAAGAAAGUAGAUACAUAUUAAUGUCAUUCUGUGUCAUCCGUGUGUUCGGAGGGGUGAGGGGGUAUUCCCUAGGGCCUUCAUAUUUGUGUCAAGAGUAUAUAAAACUGUUAUUAUUGUCCAUUUAUUUUGAUACUUGGUUAUACUAUCUUUUUAAACAAAUUUUAAUGUUUAUUUAUUUUGAGAGAGACACAGAGGGACCGAGCGUGAACGGGGGAGGGGCAGAAAGAGAGAGGGAGACACAGAAUCUGAAGCAGACUCCAGGCUCUGAGCUGUCAGCACAGAGCCCAAAGGAGGGCUCAAACUCACAGACUGGGAGUUGGUGACCCAAGCCGAAGUCAGACGCUUGGCCUGAGCCACCCUGGCACCCCUUGGUUAUGCUAUAUUUAAUUUAGAUGACACAGACUGAAUUUUUUCCUCUGCAGUUUUGUGGGAUUUCUCAGAGGCAAGUGAAAGUAGAAAGUUAAGGGGAUUCCACAGUGUCUGUCAGACCUCUAGAGAUCGCAAGGCCCCACCAUGCCUGCAAAUGACCUCAGGGUUGUGGGAUCGAGCCCUGCAUGGAGCCCUGCAUCUACUUAAGAUUCUCUCUCUCUCUUUCUCUCUCUCUCUGCCUCUGCUCCUCCCCCACUCUCUCACUCUCCUCUCUCUCUUUCUCAAAUAAACAAAUAAAUAAAAGCCCUUGAAGCCCCCAGAUGCUAAUCUGAAUGAUGGAAAAAAAUAAAUGCUGGGUGGGGGGCACUACGAAAUUCAUGACUUCAGUGCAAUUUUGAAGAGCUUUAAAAAUAACUUAGUAAGUACUAUUUGUCCAGGCAGGCAAUACACUACAGAUACAGCUUGUAGAAUGCAGAGUUAACAUUCAAAUUAAAAAUCAGUAUCGGGGCGCCU